UGGGGAAUAUUGCACAAUGGGCGCAAGCCUGAUGCAGCCAUGCCGCGUGUAUGAAGAAGGCCUUCGGGUUGUAAAGUACUUUCAGCGUGGAGGAAGGGAGUAAAGUUACUACCUUUACUCAUUGACGUUACCCGCAGAAGAAGCACCGGCUAACUCCGUGCCAGCAGCCGCGGUAAUUCGGAGGGUGCAAGCGUUAAUCGGAAUUACUGGGCGUAAAGCGCACGCAGGCGUUUGAUUGAGUCAGAUGUGAAAUCCCCGGGCUUAACCCGGGAAUUGCAUCUGAUACUGGUGAGCUAGAGUCGUGUAGAGGGGGGUAGAGUUCCAUGUGUAGCGGUGAAAUGCGUAGAGAUGUGGAGGAAUAACGGUGGCGAAGGCGGCCCCCUGGACAAAGACUGACGUUCAGGUGCGAAAGCGUGGGGAGCAAACAGG
Molecule: ribosomal RNA, 429 nt
Filed under: Chloroflexota bacterium
Lineage: Bacteria; Bacillati; Chloroflexota
Description: Chloroflexi bacterium partial 16S ribosomal RNA
Rfam family: Bacterial small subunit ribosomal RNA
Source: RNAcentral